CGAAGUAGUAGUCUGGUGUGUGGGUGCAGCUGAAGUUUCAGAAGUGUCAGGUGCAAGAGUAGUUGGGGAAGAAUUAGGUGUGGGUGGGGCAGCUGUGGUCUCUGGUGGAGCUGAGGCGGAUGAUGGGUCUAGGGUAGUUGCAGAAGGUGUGGGUGGGGCAGCUGUGGUCUCUGGUGGAGCUGAGGAAGAUGGUGGAGCUGGUGUAGUUGCAGGAGGUGUGGGUGGGGCAGCUGUGGUCUCUGGUGGAGCUGAGGAAGAUGGUGGAGCUGGUGUAGUUGCAGAAGGUGUGGGUGGGGCAGCUGUGGUGUCUUGUGGAGCUGGGGAAUUCACUGGUGCUAAUGUAGCUACAGAAGAGCUUGUGUUAACAUUUUCUCUUGAAGAUAUGGUGGUGGCAUUCUGGGGAAGAAAAGUCACACAGAUGGAAUUUGGGUUGUAGCCACUAAGGUAGGGUUGACCACACUGCUAUUUUUAUCUGGAUGUUUAGGUGGCUGGUGGAAGCUUAGGCCUACAGCGUUUGUGCAGACAUUUAUAGGACUUUCUAAUGAACGGCUUCUGGUGAGCUAGCA
This 566-nucleotide long non-coding RNA is filed under the name Homo sapiens (human). RNAcentral's name for it is "HSALNT0320154". The record is from RNAcentral. Lineage: Eukaryota; Metazoa; Chordata; Mammalia; Primates; Hominidae.